GACGAACGCUGGCGGCGUGCUUAACACAUGCAAGUCGAACGGAAAGGCCCUGCUUUUGUGGGGUGCUCGAGUGGCGAACGGGUGAGUAACACGUGAGUAACCUGCCCUUGACUUUGGGAUAACUUCAGGAAACUGGGGCUAAUACCGGAUAGGAGCUCCUGCUGCAUGGUGGGGGUUGGAAAGUUUCGGCGGUUGGGGAUGGACUCGCGGCUUAUCAGCUUGUUGGUGGGGUAGUGGCUUACCAAGGCUUUGACGGGUAGCCGGCCUGAGAGGGUGACCGGCAACAUUGGGCUGAGAUACGGCCCAGACUCCUACGGGAGGCAGCAGUGGGGAAUAUUGCACAAUGGGCGGAAGCCUGAUGCAGCAACGCCGCGUGCGGGAUGACGGCCUUCGGGUUGUAAACCGCUUUCGCCUGUGACGAAGCGUGAGUGACGGUAAUGGGUAAAGAAGCACCGGCUAACUACGUG
Molecule: ribosomal RNA, 467 nt
Filed under: uncultured bacterium
Lineage: Bacteria
Description: partial 16S ribosomal RNA
Rfam family: Bacterial small subunit ribosomal RNA
Source: RNAcentral